UACAUAGGGUGCGAGCGUUGUCCGGAAUUAUUGGGCGUAAAGAGCUUGUAGGCGGUUUGUCGCGUCUGCCGUGAAAAUCCGGGGCUCAACCCCGGACUUGCGGUGGGUACGGGCAGACUAGAGUGUGGUAGGGGAGACUGGAAUUCCUGGUGUAGCGGUGAAAUGCGCAGAUAUCAGGAGGAACACCGAUGGCGAAGGCAGGUCUCUGGGCCACUACUGACGCUGAGAAGCGAAAGCGUGGGGAGCGAACAAG
This 253-nucleotide ribosomal RNA is filed under the name uncultured bacterium. RNAcentral describes it as "partial 16S ribosomal RNA". It matches the Rfam family "Bacterial small subunit ribosomal RNA", at positions 524 to 776 of the family's 1533-position model. The record is from RNAcentral.